AUGGCGUCGGGCAGGGGUUCCCGAGGUGGUGCCGGUGGCCCAUGGCGGGGUGCAGCAGGACAGAGCUCGACGGAGCAAGGGCCGAGGGGCGCUUGGCGGCAGGGCCCGCGAAUGGAGGAGGUCGACGAGGUGUUGCGCGGCGAUGGCCUCAGGAUGGCCAUGGCGCGGUGCAGGCAGGAGGGCAGCGCGCCUGCCCGUUCGUGCGCGAGGAAGGAACACAAGCAGAGGAGAGGAAGAAGGCACCACGGCCACCGGAGGUAG
RNAcentral lists this ribosomal RNA (261 nucleotides) under Triticum aestivum (bread wheat). Its description in RNAcentral is "partial small subunit ribosomal RNA". The record is from RNAcentral. Lineage: Eukaryota; Viridiplantae; Streptophyta; Magnoliopsida; Poales; Poaceae.